AUACGGAGGAUCCGAGCGUUAUCCGGAAUCAUUGGGUUUAAAGGGUCCGUAGGCCGGCGUCUAAGUCAGCGGUGAAAUUCUACAGCUCAACUGUAGGACUGCCGUUGAUACUGGUCGUCUUGAAUGGUUGUGAAGUGGCUAGAAUAUGUGGUGUAGCGGUGAAAUGCAUAGAUAUCACAUAGAAUACCGAUUGCGAAGGCAGGUCACUAACAACGCAUUGACGCUGAUGGACGAAAGCGUGGGGAGCGAACAGGAUUAGAUACCCUGGUAGUCCACGCCGUAAACGAUGGAUACUAGCUGUUCGGUGCACAUUGGUGCGCUGGGUGGCCAAGCGAAAGUGAUAAGUAUCCCACCUGGGGAGUACGUUCGCAAGAAUGAA
This 379-nucleotide ribosomal RNA is filed under the name uncultured bacterium. RNAcentral's name for it is "bacterial SSU rRNA". It matches the Rfam family "Bacterial small subunit ribosomal RNA", at positions 523 to 898 of the family's 1533-position model. The record is from RNAcentral.